GGGGAAUGCCAAACUGCAGUCGAGCGAGCUUGCCUAGAUGAUUUUAGUGCUUGCACUAAAUGAAACUAGAUACAAGCGAGCGGCGGACGGGUGAGUAACACGUGGGUAACCUGCCCAAGAGACUGGGAUAACACCUGGAAACAGAUGCUAAUACCGGAUAACAACACUAGACGCAUGUCUAGAGUUUGAAAGAUGGUUCUGCUAUCACUCUUGGAUGGACCUGCGGUGCAUUAGCUAGUUGGUAAGGUAACGGCUUACCAAGGCAAUGGUGCAUAGCCGAGUUGAGAGACUGAUCGGCCACAUUGGGACUGAGACACGGCCCAAACUCCUACGGGAGGCAGCAGUAGGGAAUCUUCCACAAUGGACGAAAGUCUGAUGGAGCAACGCCGCGUGAGUGAAGAAGGGUUUCGGCUCGUAAAGCUCUGUUGGUAGUGAAGAAAGAUAGAGGUAGUAACUGGCCUUUAUUUGACGGUAAUUACUUAGAAAGUCACGGCUAACUACGUGCCAGCAGCCGCGGUAAUACGUAGGUGGCAAGCGUUGUCCGGAUUUAUUGGGCGUAAAGCGAGUGCAGGCGGUUCAAUAAGUCUGAUGUGAAAGCCUUCGGCUCAACCGGAGAAUUGCAUCAGAAACUGUUGAACUUGAGUGCAGAAGAGGAGAGUGGAACUCCAUGUGUAGCGGUGGAAUGCGUAGAUAUAUGGAAGAACACCAGUGGCGAAGGCGGCUCUCUGGUCUGCAACUGACGCUGAGGCU
This 750-nucleotide ribosomal RNA is filed under the name uncultured bacterium. RNAcentral describes it as "bacterial SSU rRNA". It matches the Rfam family "Bacterial small subunit ribosomal RNA", at positions 39 to 753 of the family's 1533-position model. The record is from RNAcentral.